Molecule: transfer RNA, 70 nt
Filed under: Neosymplana vittatum
Lineage: Eukaryota; Metazoa; Arthropoda; Insecta; Hemiptera; Caliscelidae
Description: tRNA-Phe
Source: RNAcentral
AUUUAAAUAGCUUAAUUAUUAAAGUUUAAUAUUGAAAAUAUUAAGAUGAAUAUUUAUAUUCUUUAAAUAA